Molecule: ribosomal RNA, 450 nt
Filed under: uncultured Glomeromycotina
Lineage: Eukaryota; Fungi; Glomeromycota
Description: SSU rRNA
Rfam family: Eukaryotic small subunit ribosomal RNA
Source: RNAcentral
AGCAGCCGCGGUAAUUCCAGCUCCAAUAGCGUAUAUUAAAGUUGUUGCAGUUAAAAAGCUCGUAGUUGAAUUUCGGGGUUAGUAGGUUGGUCAUGCCUCUGGUAUGUACUGGUCUCACUGAUUCCUCCUUCCUUAUGAACCGUAAUGCCAUUAAUUUGGUGUUGCGAGGAAUUUGGACUGUUACUUUGAAAAAAUUAGAGUGUUUAAAGCAAGCUAACGCUUGAAUACAUUAGCAUGGAAUAAUGAAAUAGGACGUUCGAUCUUAUUUUGUUGGUUUCUAGGAUUGACGUAAUGAUUAAUAGGGAUAGUUGGGGGCAUUAGUAUUCAAUUGUCAGAGGUGAAAUUCUUGGAUUUAUUGAAGACUAACUACUGCGAAAGCAUUUGCCAAGGAUGUUUUCAUUAAUCAAGAACGAAAGUUAGGGGAUCGAAGACGAUCAGAUACCGUCGUAG